RNAcentral lists this ribosomal RNA (672 nucleotides) under Metschnikowia sp. 356. RNAcentral's name for it is "eukaryotic LSU rRNA". The stretch from base 245 to 398 matches the Rfam family "5.8S ribosomal RNA". The record is from RNAcentral. Lineage: Eukaryota; Fungi; Ascomycota; Pichiomycetes; Serinales; Metschnikowiaceae.
CUGCGGAAGGAUCAUUAAAGAUUUUUGAUUGGAGCAGCCGGGGGAGUGCCAGCCAGCCUGCGCUUAAUUGCGCGGCCGACGGUGCUUUCUGUUAACGGUUGUCUCUUUCUACACACACACUGUGGAGUUUUUUCUACUUUGCUACUUUUUCUUUGGGCGCAAGCCCAGAGGAUACAAAACACAAACAAUUUUUUAUGUUUAUUUUAGUCAAGAAAUUUUCAUUUUAAGAAAAUAAAAUAUUCAAAACUUUCAACAACGGAUCUCUUGGUUCUCGCAUCGAUGAAGAACGCAGCGAAAUGCGAUACGUAUUGUGAAUUGCAGAUUUUCGUGAAUCAUCGAAUCUUUGAACGCACAUUGCGCCCUUUGGUAUUCCAAAGGGCAUGCCUGUUUGAGCGUCAUUUCCUUCUCAAACCUUUGGGUUUGGUCGUGAGUGAUACUCUUUCCAGGGUUAACUUGAAAAUGCUGGCCAUCUGGCUGCUGCUGGCUGAGGCUCUAGUCCAGUCUGCUGAUACUCGACGUAUUAGGUUUUACCAACUCGUUGUGGCAUCGGUCGGGCGUUAUUACGACUCUAGCACGAAAGUACAGACAGCCUGGCGAACAGUAUUCAUAAAGUUUGACCUCAAAUCAGGUAGGAUUACCCGCUGAACUUAAGCAUAUCAAUAAGGCGGAGGA